RNAcentral lists this ribosomal RNA (399 nucleotides) under uncultured bacterium. Its description in RNAcentral is "bacterial SSU rRNA". It matches the Rfam family "Bacterial small subunit ribosomal RNA", at positions 362 to 776 of the family's 1533-position model. The record is from RNAcentral.
UAUUGCACAAUGGGGGAAACCCUGAUGCAGCGACGCCGCGUGGGCGAAGAAGUAUUUCGGUAUGUAAAGCCCUAUCAGCAGGGAAGAAGAAAUGACGGUACCUGAGUAAGAAGCCCCGGCUAACUACGUGCCAGCAGCCGCGGUAAUACGUAGGGGGCAAGCGUUAUCCGGAUUUACUGGGUGUAAAGGGAGCGUAGACGGUGAUGCAAGUCAGAAGUGAAAGCCCGGGGCUCAACUCCGGGACUGCUUUUGAAACUGUGUGACUGGAGUGCAGGAGAGGUAAGCGGAAUUCCUGGUGUAGCGGUGAAAUGCGUAGAUAUUAGGAGGAACACCAGUGGCGAAGGCGGCUUACUGGACUGUAGCUGACACUGAGGCUCGAAAGCGUGGGGAGCAAACAGG